CAAAAAGAACUAAGUUGCUUCUGGUUCAGUCUUGCUGCUGGCAAGUUGUCUGAGCUGCUGGUUGCUUGUUGCAUUGCAGACCAAUGCUUAACAGUAUUUAAUGCCCUUCCCGAAAGUCCAAGUUGCACCUAGCCAGGGAGCUUGGAGCUGGAGGUUUCUUAGUUUUUGUAGUCUAGCCUCCAUAGACAUAGAGAUUGUUGGUUUUGAGGACCCAGGUCCUCGUUGAGGGGGAGCUGCUCAUCAUUUAUGGUGCAUAUUGAUAUGGUUGUGAGACUUGAAAGAGAUGGGAAGGAAAGGAGAAAAGGGGAGACAAUAGUUACUUAUUAAACAGUUUCUUAACGAGUGUUUAAGUGAAGACGAUGAAUACAUUUAUUCAUUUUCAUAUGUAACAUAUUAUUAUUUUUAUCAUUAGAGCUUAACAAGCACUUUAAAGUUUUACAAUUUAUAAACAAAAGCUGAUGACAUGAGAGCUUCAUAAACUGUAUGUAACCUGGGAAACAAUCGUCUUAAUCAAAUGGAGUAGGUGGGCGCCACAGGCAUGGAGGUGGUGGUGACGGUGGCGACGGAAGAGGUCGAGGAGAUGGAGGAGGGGUUUUGAAGUGAACAGGAGCAUUAAUCCUGGGUGGUGGUGGAGUUAUUCGUCGACUCCUCCUAGACAAAGCUUUCAACUAUUUGGAGAAAUCAUCCAACGGUGAUAGAGGAACAAACUCAGCCGCCUCAACUGCCAGGUUAAGCUGCGAAAAUGUAGUGGCGUUUAUCAAUAGCAAAGCAAACAAGCAAAGACUCCACUUCCAUUUCCGAAGCUCCCUUUUUGUUUAAACUAACAAAGGGGCCUGGUCUUUUACGAAGUCCUGAUUGAAGCUUUUAAUGAUGGAGAAAAGAUAUUUCUUUUUGAAGGGGAAAGGUUUUUUUUAUUUAAAUAUAGG
RNAcentral lists this long non-coding RNA (926 nucleotides) under Gossypium raimondii (Peruvian cotton). Its description in RNAcentral is "long non-coding RNA (GRAI_LNC010570)". The record is from RNAcentral. Lineage: Eukaryota; Viridiplantae; Streptophyta; Magnoliopsida; Malvales; Malvaceae.